UAUCAUCAGCUUUUGAUCCCUUUUGUCAUCUCCUUCCCCCAAAACCAUUCUUUUUAAGUUUGGGAAGAAGAAGAAGUAGCUAAAAAUGGAGAGAAAUCUAGAAAAUCCAUUGACCCAAAUGAGGAAAUCAGUUGAAAAGCUUGGAUCUUCCAUUGAAAGUUAUGGAAAGAAGACACUAAUGAGGUUCUUGAUUGCAAGAUCAAUGAACCCAGAAAAAGCUGCAAGGAUGUUUUGUCAGUGGAAAAAAUGGAGGGCUGAAAUGGUUCCACUAGGGUACAUCACUGAUUCUGAAGUUGCAGAUGAAUUAGCAGCUGAAAAAAUUUAUUUGCAGGGAUUAUCCAAGAAUGGGCACCCUGUUGUGAUGGUUAAAAGUAACAAACAUUUUCAAUCCAAGGAUCCAGUUCAAUUCAAGAUAAAAAGGAUAUGGAACGCUUAAAUUCCAAAAAAUACUGUUAUGAGUUAUGAAGGAAUAUUGCUAAAGCAUCAAAAAGAGCAACAAUCUAUAGUGUUUUACCCAAGUUGCAGUCUUGUUAAAUGAUUCAUUUCACGGAUGCUAAUGAUUAUUCUUAACGAUGUGCAGAAUUCGUGGUUCAUAUAUUAGACAAAACAAUUGCAAGUUUUUACAGGUAACCCAUUUGCCUUCGUAUAGUGCGGAAACCAUUACUACAGAGACGCACAUAACCAGUGUUAUGAAAAGAUAUAUAAUUCUUGUAGCAUGGACGACAUUAUACAUCUCUUAUCAGCUAUGACACAGUCCAAAGAGUCAAAAUUACCGGCUUAGUAGAGGAACUCACUAGACUAUGUAUGUAGCUGCAGCUGUUUCUUUCUACAGGCAUACUACCCUGAGCGCUUAGCUACUUGUUACCUUUUACACAUGCCACAAUUCUUUGUCACCAUAUGGCGAUUUAUUUGUCGCUUCCUUGAU
Molecule: RNA transcript, 925 nt
Organism: Solanum dulcamara
Lineage: Eukaryota; Viridiplantae; Streptophyta; Magnoliopsida; Solanales; Solanaceae
Gene name: sec14 cytosolic factor-like
Exons: 6
Source: RefSeq, a predicted model, not a curated record